This 301-nucleotide ribosomal RNA is filed under the name uncultured bacterium. RNAcentral's name for it is "partial 16S ribosomal RNA". It matches the Rfam family "Bacterial small subunit ribosomal RNA", at positions 510 to 808 of the family's 1533-position model. The record is from RNAcentral.
AGUAGCCACGGGAAUACAGAGGGUGCGAGCGUUAAUCGGAUUUACUGGGCGUAAAGCGUGCGUAGGCGGCUUCUUAAGUCGGAUGUGAAAUCCCUGAGCUUAACUUAGGAAUUGCAUUCGAUACUGGGAAGCUAGAGUAUGGGAGAGGAUGGUAGAAUUCCAGGUGUAGCGGUGAAAUGCGUAGAGAUCUGGAGGAAUACCGAUGGCGAAGGCAGCCAUCUGGCCUAAUACUGACGCUGAGGUACGAAAGCAUGGGGAGCAAACAGGAUUAGAUACCCGUGUAGUCCCUGUCUCUUAUACA